Molecule: transfer RNA, 63 nt
Filed under: Tachypleus gigas (Indo-Pacific horseshoe crab)
Lineage: Eukaryota; Metazoa; Arthropoda; Merostomata; Xiphosura; Limulidae
Description: tRNA-Thr
Rfam family: tRNA
About the family: Transfer RNA (tRNA) molecules are approximately 80 nucleotides in length. Their secondary structure includes four short double-helical elements and three loops (D, anti-codon, and T loops).
Source: RNAcentral
GUUUUAGUAGUUUAGAUAAAACCUCGGUCUUGUAAAUCGAAAAAAGGAAAUUCCUCUAAAACA